This 480-nucleotide ribosomal RNA is filed under the name uncultured bacterium. Its description in RNAcentral is "partial 16S ribosomal RNA". It matches the Rfam family "Bacterial small subunit ribosomal RNA", at positions 28 to 523 of the family's 1533-position model. The record is from RNAcentral.
GACGAACGCUGGCGGCGUGCCUAACACAUGCAAGUCGAGCGAGGAAUUCACCUUCGGGUGAUGAACUAGCGGCGGACGGGUGAGUAACACGUGGGCAACCUGCCUCAUAGAGGGGAAUAGCCUCCCGAAAGGGAGAUUAAUACCGCAUAACAUUGCAGUACCGCAUGGUAUAGCAAUUAAAGGAGUAAUCCGCUAUGAGAUGGGCCCGCGGCGCAUUAGCUAGUUGGUGAGGUAACGGCUCACCAAGGCGACGAUGCGUAGCCGACCUGAGAGGGUGAUCGGCCACAUUGGGACUGAGACUCGGCCCAGACUCCUACGGGAGGCAGCAGUGGGGAAUAUUGCACAAUGGGGGAAACCCUGAUGCAGCAACGCCGCGUGAGUGAUGACGGUCUUCGGAUUGCAAAGCUCUGUCUUCAGGGACGAUAAUGACGGUACCUGAGGAGGAAGCAACGGCUAACUACGUGCCAGCAGCCGCAGUAA